This 728-nucleotide small RNA is filed under the name Arabidopsis thaliana (thale cress). RNAcentral's name for it is "ATSL170440". The record is from RNAcentral. Lineage: Eukaryota; Viridiplantae; Streptophyta; Magnoliopsida; Brassicales; Brassicaceae.
AAUUUUAUAUAUAGUAACAUUAUACAUACCACAUAACAUUUUUGGUUUUAUAUAACCUUUUCUAAAUUAGGAUGAUUUGAUAUGUUUAAUAUUAAUGGUCUUAAAAAUAAUAAAUUAAAGAUUUAACCCGUAUUGAAACGGUGGAUUAAUUAUAUUUUACUUUUUUAUUAAUGUUGAAUCAAAAACCCGUCCCUCCAAAUCCGUCUUGCCAAAAAGCCAUUUAUUUUAUUGAUAUUAAUUUUAUUUAUGAUAUGACUCUGAAUUAUAAUCUAAAAAUUUUAGCUAAUAACAUAGGAGUGCACCAUAUAUAUUUAAUAGCGGAAUGUACCAUAUGACCCGAAUGCACUUUUACCUAAAUCCACCAAAAAACAAAUAUAUUAGUUAGCUUAAAUUAGUUAAAGAAUACAAAUUGAAAAGGUAUAUUACACUUUAUUCGAAUAUAGUAUCAAAACUUAUAUAACACAGAGAUUUGAUAAUUUUUUAAUUGUUGAAUACUUUUUUUCUUGUGCUAAUUUUUAUGUGAUUAAGAUUUAAUUGAUUUCGUAUAUAAAAUAUUAAAUUGUUUUACGAACUUAUUUGUUUAUAAUUUGGUAACAGAUAAAUAUUUGAAUAUUCGGUAUAUUUUGCUUCAGUUUAGGAAAUCUUUGAUGACCCGUCUUUAGAUCCAAUAAGCCCUAUAAUUAAGAAAUGAAUAUUUUCGUUAAAUGAUUUUGGUAACCUUAAUGAUG